This is a long non-coding RNA of Anguilla rostrata (American eel), 318 nucleotides long. RefSeq lists it as uncharacterized. The record is from RefSeq and is a predicted model, not a curated record. NCBI's taxonomy places the organism in Eukaryota, Metazoa, Chordata, Actinopteri, Anguilliformes, Anguillidae. The transcript is spliced from 2 exons.
GGCAGUACCUUUUAAAGGCAACGCGUCGGGGAACUGGCCUAAGUGUACUGAGGGAGAUGUGGGACGGUGAUAGAUGCUUUUGGGGAAUAAACCUACAGUGAAUUUGAGGCCGUACAGGUAUUAUGAUAAACUGGAGGGAUGAGUAAUGGUGAUGGGGAUAGAUGCUUUUGGGGAAUAAACCUACAGUGGAUCUGAGGCUGUGCAGGCAUGAUGAUAGAGACAGAGUACGCUGUGCCCUCCGGGCCCCCAGCUCACCACUAAGAAAAGGGGCUACCGCUCGAAUCCCAACUGACGGAAACCUCAGAUACAGCCCUGGCA